GGGGGUAUAGCUCAGCUGGUAGAGCGUCUCGUUCGCAAUGAGAAGGUCAGGGGUUCGACUCCCCUUACCUCCA
Molecule: transfer RNA, 73 nt
Filed under: Verrucomicrobiota bacterium
Lineage: Bacteria; Pseudomonadati; Verrucomicrobiota
Description: Verrucomicrobia bacterium (rhizosphere metagenome) tRNA-Ala
Rfam family: tRNA
About the family: Transfer RNA (tRNA) molecules are approximately 80 nucleotides in length. Their secondary structure includes four short double-helical elements and three loops (D, anti-codon, and T loops).
Source: RNAcentral